This is a small nucleolar RNA of Nycticebus coucang (slow loris), 135 nucleotides long. RefSeq annotates it as small nucleolar RNA SNORA70. NCBI's taxonomy places the organism in Eukaryota, Metazoa, Chordata, Mammalia, Primates, Lorisidae. The record is from RefSeq and is a predicted model, not a curated record. The transcript has a single exon.
CUGCAGCUAACUAAGCUCAGGGUGCUCCUUUCCUCAUGGGGGUCUGGUGUGCAAUGGCUGCAAACAGCAGCCUCCUUGGUAGUAUAUGCAGCCUGUUGUUUAUAUAGGUUGCUCGAAGGGACUUUGGAGACAUUC